AUUGAACGCUGGCGGCAGGCUUAACACAUGCAAGUCGAGCGGGGGAAGGUAGCUUGCUACCGGACCUAGCGGCGGACGGGUGAGUAAUGCUUAGAAAUCUGCCUAUUAGUGGGGACAACAUCUCGAAAGGGAUGCUAAUACCGCAUACGUCCUACGGGAGAAAGCAGGGGAUCUUCGGACCUUGCGCUAAUAGAUGAGCCUAAGUCGGAUUAGCUAGUUGGUGGGGUAAAGGCCUACCAAGGCGACGAUCUGUAGCGGGUCUGAGAGGAUGAUCCGCCACACUGGGACUGAGACACGGCCCAGACUCCUACGGGAGGCAGCAGUGGGGAAUAUUGGACAAUGGGGGGAACCCUGAUCCAGCCAUGCCGCGUGUGUGAAGAAGGCCUUAUGGUUGUAAAGCACUUUAAGCGAGGAGGAGGCUACUUUAGUUAAUACCUAGAGAUAGUGGACGUUACUCGCAGAAUAAGCACCGGCUAACUCUGUGCCAGCCGCCGCAGUAA
This 500-nucleotide ribosomal RNA is filed under the name uncultured bacterium. Its description in RNAcentral is "partial 16S ribosomal RNA". It matches the Rfam family "Bacterial small subunit ribosomal RNA", at positions 30 to 523 of the family's 1533-position model. The record is from RNAcentral.